This 84-nucleotide transfer RNA is filed under the name Hydrogenobaculum sp. HO. It matches the Rfam family "tRNA". From Rfam's summary of the family: Transfer RNA (tRNA) molecules are approximately 80 nucleotides in length. Their secondary structure includes four short double-helical elements and three loops (D, anti-codon, and T loops). Lineage: Bacteria; Pseudomonadati; Aquificota; Aquificia; Aquificales; Aquificaceae. The record is from Rfam by way of RNAcentral.
GGAGAGAUAGCCAAGCGGCCAACGGCAAGGGACUGUAAAUCCCUCGGGCUUCGCCCUUCGCAGGUUCGAAUCCUGCUCUCUCCA